This 2211-nucleotide ribosomal RNA is filed under the name Escherichia coli. RNAcentral describes it as "bacterial LSU rRNA". It matches the Rfam family "Bacterial large subunit ribosomal RNA", at positions 1 to 2228 of the family's 2925-position model. Lineage: Bacteria; Pseudomonadati; Pseudomonadota; Gammaproteobacteria; Enterobacterales; Enterobacteriaceae. The record is from RNAcentral.
GGGUUGUGAGGUUAAGCGACUAAGCGUACACGGUGGAUGCCCUGGCAGUCAGAGGCGAUGAAGGACGUGCUAAUCUGCGAUAAGCGUCGGUAAGGUGAUAUGAACCGUUAUAACCGGCGAUUUCCGAAUGGGGAAACCCAGUGUGAUUCGUCACACUAUCAUUAACUGAAUCCAUAGGUUAAUGAGGCGAACCGGGGGAACUGAAACAUCUAAGUACCCCGAGGAAAAGAAAUCAACCGAGAUUCCCCCAGUAGCGGCGAGCGAACGGGGAGCAGCCCAGAGCCUGAAUCAGUGUGUGUGUUAGUGGAAGCGUCUGGAAAGGCGCGCGAUACAGGGUGACAGCCCCGUACACAAAAAUGCACAUGCUGUGAGCUCGAUGAGUAGGGCGGGACACGUGGUAUCCUGUCUGAAUAUGGGGGGACCAUCCUCCAAGGCUAAAUACUCCUGACUGACCGAUAGUGAACCAGUACCGUGAGGGAAAGGCGAAAAGAACCCCGGCGAGGGGAGUGAAAAAGAACCUGAAACCGUGUACGUACAAGCAGUGGGAGCACGCUUAGGCGUGUGACUGCGUACCUUUUGUAUAAUGGGUCAGCGACUUAUAUUCUGUAGCAAGGUUAACCGAAUAGGGGAGCCGAAGGGAAACCGAGUCUUAACUGGGCGUUAAGUUGCAGGGUAUAGACCCGAAACCCGGUGAUCUAGCCAUGGGCAGGUUGAAGGUUGGGUAACACUAACUGGAGGACCGAACCGACUAAUGUUGAAAAAUUAGCGGAUGACUUGUGGCUGGGGGUGAAAGGCCAAUCAAACCGGGAGAUAGCUGGUUCUCCCCGAAAGCUAUUUAGGUAGCGCCUCGUGAAUUCAUCUCCGGGGGUAGAGCACUGUUUCGGCAAGGGGGUCAUCCCGACUUACCAACCCGAUGCAAACUGCGAAUACCGGAGAAUGUUAUCACGGGAGACACACGGCGGGUGCUAACGUCCGUCGUGAAGAGGGAAACAACCCAGACCGCCAGCUAAGGUCCCAAAGUCAUGGUUAAGUGGGAAACGAUGUGGGAAGGCCCAGACAGCCAGGAUGUUGGCUUAGAAGCAGCCAUCAUUUAAAGAAAGCGUAAUAGCUCACUGGUCGAGUCGGCCUGCGCGGAAGAUGUAACGGGGCUAAACCAUGCACCGAAGCUGCGGCAGCGACACUUAUGUGUUGUUGGGUAGGGGAGCGUUCUGUAAGCCUGUGAAGGUGUACUGUGAGGUAUGCUGGAGGUAUCAGAAGUGCGAAUGCUGACAUAAGUAACGAUAAAGCGGGUGAAAAGCCCGCUCGCCGGAAGACCAAGGGUUCCUGUCCAACGUUAAUCGGGGCAGGGUGAGUCGACCCCUAAGGCGAGGCCGAAAGGCGUAGUCGAUGGGAAACAGGUUAAUAUUCCUGUACUUGGUGUUACUGCGAAGGGGGGACGGAGAAGGCUAUGUUGGCCGGGCGACGGUUGUCCCGGUUUAAGCGUGUAGGCUGGUUUUCCAGGCAAAUCCGGAAAAUCAAGGCUGAGGCGUGAUGACGAGGCACUACGGUGCUGAAGCAACAAAUGCCCUGCUUCCAGGAAAAGCCUCUAAGCAUCAGGUAACAUCAAAUCGUACCCCAAACCGACACAGGUGGUCAGGUAGAGAAUACCAAGGCGCUUGAGAGAACUCGGGUGAAGGAACUAGGCAAAAUGGUGCCGUAACUUCGGGAGAAGGCACGCUGAUAUGUAGGUGAAGUGAUUUACUCAUGGAGCUGAAAUCAGUCGAAGAUACCAGCUGGCUGCAACUGUUUAUUAAAAACACAGCACUGUGCAAACACGAAAGUGGACGUAUACGGUGUGACGCCUGCCCGGUGCCGGAAGGUUAAUUGAUGGGGUCAGCGCAAGCGAAGCUCUUGAUCGAAGCCCCGGUAAACGGCGGCCGUAACUAUAACGGUCCUAAGGUAGCGAAAUUCCUUGUCGGGUAAGUUCCGACCUGCACGAAUGGCGUAAUGAUGGCCAGGCUGUCUCCACCCGAGACUCAGUGAAAUUGAACUCGCUGUGAAGAUGCAGUGUACCCGCGGCAAGACGGAAAGACCCCGUGAACCUUUACUAUAGCUUGACACUGAACAUUGAGCCUUGAUGUGUAGGAUAGGUGGGAGGCUUUGAAGUGUGGACGCCAGUCUGCAUGGAGCCGACCUUGAAAUACCACCCUUUAAUGUUUGAUGUUCUAACGU